GUGCGUCACGGGUGGCGGGCGCGGGAAGGGGAUUUGGAUUGUUGCGCCUCUGCUCUGAAGAAAGUGCUGUCUGGCUCCAACUCCAGUUCUUGCCCCUGAGCAGCGCCUGGAACCUAACCCUUCCCACUCUGUCACCUUCUCGAUCCCGCCGGCGCUUUAGAGCCGCAGUCCAGCCUUGGAUCCUCAGAGCCUCAGCCACUAGCUGCGAUGCAUGUGAUCAAGCGAGUAGAGAUGGGGUUUCACCAUGUUGGCUAGACUGGUCUCGAACUCCUGACCUCAGGUGAUCCGCCUGCUUCGGCCUCCCAAAGUGCUAGGAAUACAGGCAUGAGCCACCAUGCCCGGCUGGCUAGAGGAUUUUAAAAGAGGAAGAGAUGGCCGCCAAGAGCGAGUUAUGUUUGACAAAAUUACAUCUCGAAUCCAGAAGCUUUGCUAUGGACUCAAUAUGGAUUUUGUUGAUCCUGCUCAGAUCACCAUGAAAGUAAUCCAAGGCUUGUACAGUGGGGUCACCACAGUGGAACUAGAUACUUUGGCUGCUGAAACAGCUGCAACCUUGACUACUAAG
Molecule: small RNA, 562 nt
Filed under: Pongo abelii (Sumatran orangutan)
Lineage: Eukaryota; Metazoa; Chordata; Mammalia; Primates; Hominidae
Description: processed transcript
Source: RNAcentral